Poecilia reticulata (guppy) is the source of this 160-nucleotide non-coding RNA. Lineage: Eukaryota; Metazoa; Chordata; Actinopteri; Cyprinodontiformes; Poeciliidae. The record is from RefSeq and is a predicted model, not a curated record.
CUCAGACCUUUGUUGGGCUCACCCGGCCCCCUUACCCACAACUGAAGAGGUAGUAAAGUUCGCCUUCAGGGAAGGAUUUAUCCGUGCCACAUGAUGCUCGUACCUGCAAGCAGCUUAUCCAUGCAAACAAGGCCGAAUAAUGCACACAGAAGGGGAUCAC